AUGAUAUUUGUUUCUUGAACAGAUUGUAAGGCAUGAAGAAGGAAAAAAACCACUUGUUUUUAUAAGAAAAUCUGUUCCUUCUUCUAUAAUCCCAACUGUCCCAAGCUGAAUCACUAGGCAUUGGAUACACAGUGUGCUAUCGGAGGCUGAGUCAUCCCUGCUGCAAAUCGAAACUGUGGAUCUGAAAAGAAUUUUCUCAUCUAAACCAGAGCUUCAGUCUCCCAGAAAGCAAUGAAGAGAAAAGCUGAAGUCAGUGAUUAGGAGUGUCUGUGUAAGUAAAAGCAACAGGCAAUUACUGAGUGUGGUGUGAGAGGCACGGAAAGAUUGGGAAUUCAGCAAGAAGAGGAAUUGAAGUCAAACCUCACCUACUUCCCAGAGUCUUCUGGAUUUUCUGUUAGAAGCUUCAGUAUCUGAGGAAAGGACUCAGGCAACAAAUAAACAGCUAAGAUUUUACUAGAGUAUGAAAGGGAGAGCACUGGAGUGCAGUGCGGGGAUGGAGAUGCAGCUGUGGUGGCUGGAAGUACAGGAGGGCAGCUGGAGGCACCUGGCCUCUGAAGCCUGUCUUCUUCAUCUGGGUGAGAUCUGCUGGAGUCAGGAAGGACUUCCUGCUGCAAGGAUAAAGGUGAAGUGUGGUGGCGUAAUCAUGACUCACUGCAGCCUCGAACUCCGGGACUCAAGCUAAUCUCUUUCCUCAGCCUUCCCAGCAGCUGGGACUACAGAAUCCCACCCAUCCUAAGGCAUUACAUUUAGUCAUCAUAGCUCUUUCUUCACAGAAUUAGAAAAAACUACUUUAAAUUUCAUAUGGAACCAAAAAAGAGCCCAUAUAGCCAAGAAAAUCUUAAGCAAAAAGAACAAAGAUGGAGGCAUCAUGCUAACUGACUUCAAACUAUACUACAAGGCUACAGUAACCAAAACAGCAUGGUACUGGUGCCAAAACAGAUAUAUAGACCAAUGGAAUAGAACAGAGGCCUCAGAAAAACGUCACCCAUCUACAACCAUCUGAUCUUCAACAAAUCUGACAAAAACAAAUAAUGGGGAAGAAAUUCUGUAUUUAAUAAAUGAUCUUGGGAAAACUGGCUAGCCACAUGCAGAAAACUGAAGCUGGGCUCCUUCCUUACACCUUAUACAAAAAUUAACUCAAGAUGGAUUAAAGACUUAAACGUAAGACCUAAAACCAUAGAAACCCUAGAAGAAUACCUAGGCAAUACCAUUGAGGACACAGACAUGGGCAAAUGACUAAAGCAACAAAAGCCAAAAUUGACAAAUGGGAGCUAAUUAAACUAAAGAGCUUCUGAACAGCAAAAGAAACUAUCAUCAGAGUGAACAGGCAACCUACAGAAUGGGAGAAAAUUUUUGCAAUCUAUCCACCUGACAAAGGGCUAAUAUCCAGAAUCUACAAAUAACUUAAACAAAUUUACAAGAAAAAAAACAAACAACCCCAUCAAGAAGUGGGUGAAGGAUAUGAAAAGACACUUCUCAAAAGAAGACAUUUAUGUGGCCAACAAACAUGAAAAAAAGCUCAUCAUCACUGGGCAUUAGAGAAAUGCAAAUCAAAACCACAAUGAGAUACCAUCUCACGCCAGUUAGAAUGGCGAUCUUUAAAAAGUCAGGAAACAACAGAUGCUGGAGAGGAUGUGGAGAGAUAGGAAUGCUUUUACACUGUUGGUAGGAGUGUAAAUUAGUUCAGCAAUUGUGGAAGACUGUGUGGAGAUUCCUCAAGGAUCUAGAACCAGAAAUGCCAUUUGACCGAGCAAUCCCAUUACUGGCUAUAUACCCAAAGGAUUAUAAAUCAUUCUACUAUAGAGACACAUCCACCUGUAUGUUGAUUGCAGCACUGUUCACAAUAGCAAAGACUUGGAACCAAUGCAAAUGCCCAUCAAUGAUCGGCUGGAUAAAGAAAAUGUGGCACAUAUACACCGUGAAAUACUAUGUAGCCAUAAAAAAGGAUGAGUUCAUGUCCUUUGCAGGGAUAUGGAUGAAGCUGGAAACCAUCAUUCUCUGCAAACUAAUACAGGAACAGAAUGCCAAACACCACAUGUUCUCACUCAUAAGUGGGAGUUGAACAAUGAGAACACAUGAAUACCGGGAGGGAACAUCACACACCAGGGCCUGUCAGAGGGUCGGGGGCUAGGGAAGGGAUAGCAUUAGGAGAAAUACCUAAUGUAGAUUAUGGGUUGAUGGGUGCAGCAAACCACCAUGGCACAUGUAUAGCUAUGUAACAAACCUGCACGUUCUACACAUGUAUCCCAGAACUUAAAGCAUAAGUAAAAUAAAAAAAUAAUUAAAUGAGGAAGAAGAGUCAAAUUUUUGUGCAGAAAAAUUUGAAAGAAUUUAUGUAGAUACUACUUCCUCAAUGAGGAAGAGCAUAACUCUAUGCUCUUUAAGUCGGACAUGAACAUACUCAUUUCUUUCAAAAGAGUACAAUAUGAAAAGAGGGAAAAAGAAUAACUGUACAGUAAAGAAACCUGACAAUUGCUACCUUGGCCAAGUGACCCAGGUCAACAUCAACAGUGAUAGUGACGUUUAUGUCAUGUCCACUUGAAAUGAUGUGAUUAAAAAAAGGCACUUUACCUCUGUGUUCUUCUUCCUAUUCCCAUAAUUCCAGACUAAUUAUUUAAAAAUUUUCAUAUGUAUUCCAAUUAAAGAACAUUCUAAAAAAUACCCA
RNAcentral lists this long non-coding RNA (2665 nucleotides) under Homo sapiens (human). Its description in RNAcentral is "HSALNT0323677". Lineage: Eukaryota; Metazoa; Chordata; Mammalia; Primates; Hominidae. The record is from RNAcentral.